RNAcentral lists this transfer RNA (68 nucleotides) under Testudo horsfieldii (Horsfield's tortoise). Its description in RNAcentral is "tRNA-Glu". It matches the Rfam family "tRNA". From Rfam's summary of the family: Transfer RNA (tRNA) molecules are approximately 80 nucleotides in length. Their secondary structure includes four short double-helical elements and three loops (D, anti-codon, and T loops). Lineage: Eukaryota; Metazoa; Chordata; Testudines; Testudinidae. The record is from RNAcentral.
GUUUUUGUAGUUGAAUACAACGGUGGUUUUUCAGGCCAUAAGUCUUGGUUAAAAUCCAGGCAAGAAUU